CCCUUAGAUGUUCUGGGCCGCACGCGCGCUACACUGUUCGACGCAGCGAGUCUUAACCUUGACCGAAAGGUUUGGGUAAUCUUCAGCAAAGUCGAACGUGAUGGGGAUCGAUCAUUGCAAUUAUUGAUCGUGAACGAGGAAUUCCUAGUAAGUGCAAGUCAUCAGCUUGCGCUGAUUACGUCCCUGCCCUUUGUACACACCGCCCGUCGCUACUACCGAUUGAGUGAUCCGGUGAAUAAUUCGGACUGCAGCACUGCUUGGUCUCCAGGCUUUGCAGCGGAAAGUUUAGUGAACCUUAUCACUUAGAGGAAGGAGAAGUCGUAACA
RNAcentral lists this ribosomal RNA (326 nucleotides) under uncultured eukaryote. RNAcentral's name for it is "partial 18S ribosomal RNA". It matches the Rfam family "Eukaryotic small subunit ribosomal RNA", at positions 1470 to 1796 of the family's 1831-position model. The record is from RNAcentral.